RNAcentral lists this ribosomal RNA (703 nucleotides) under Lactuca sativa (garden lettuce). RNAcentral's name for it is "eukaryotic LSU rRNA". The stretch from base 258 to 413 matches the Rfam family "5.8S ribosomal RNA". Lineage: Eukaryota; Viridiplantae; Streptophyta; Magnoliopsida; Asterales; Asteraceae. The record is from RNAcentral.
GGGAAGUUGACCUGCAGCAGACGACCCGUGAACAUGUAACCACAACGGGGUGACCGUGAUAAGGGCCUCGGUCCUUAUCCCCUAACCCUUCCCGACGUGAGUUCGUGGUGUCUUUUUUGGGGCAUCAUGGAUUCCGUUGGACCAUAACAAAACCCCGGCACGGUAUGUGCCAAGGAAAACAAAAAUGAGAAGGACACUACCUGUUUCGCCCCGUUUGCGGUGUGCGUACAGGUCGUGGCCUCCUUGGAAUCACAAACGACUCUCGGCAACGGAUAUCUCGGCUCACGCAUCGAUGAAGAACGUAGCAAAAUGCGAUACUUGGUGUGAAUUGCAGAAUCCCGUGAACCAUCGAGUUUUUGAACGCAAGUUGCGCCCGAAGCCAUCCGGCUGAGGGCACGCCUGCCUGGGCGUCACGCAUCGCGUCGCUCCCCACCAUACCUCCCCAACGGGUUGGCAUGGUGUUGGGGGCGGAUAAUGGCCUCCCGUGCUUGUGUUUCGGUUGGCCUAAAUAAGAGUUCCCUUCGGCGGACACACGACUAGUGGUGGUUGAAUAGACCCUCGUCUUUUGUUGCGUGUCGUGAGCUGUAAGGGUAGCCCUCAUCAAAGACCCCAUUGUAUCGUCUUCGGAUGAUGCUUCGACCGCGACCCCAGGUCAGGCGGGACUACCCGCUGAGUUUAAGCAUAUCAAAAGCCGGGAGGAAAA